RNAcentral lists this ribosomal RNA (253 nucleotides) under uncultured bacterium. RNAcentral describes it as "partial 16S ribosomal RNA". It matches the Rfam family "Bacterial small subunit ribosomal RNA", at positions 524 to 776 of the family's 1533-position model. The record is from RNAcentral.
UACGAAGGGGGCUAGCGUUGUUCGGAAUCACUGGGCGUAAAGCGCACGUAGGCGGAUUGUUAAGUCAGGGGUGAAAUCCCGAGGCUCAACCUCGGAACUGCCUUUGAUACUGGCGAUCUAGAGUAGGAGAGAGGCGAGUGGAAUUGCGAGUGUAGAGGUGAAAUUCGUAGAUAUUCGCAAGAACACCGGUGGCGAAGGCGGCUCGCUGGCUUGUUACUGACGCUGAGAUGCGAAAGCGUGGGGAGCAAACAGG